Molecule: long non-coding RNA, 11965 nt
Organism: Hydractinia symbiolongicarpus
Lineage: Eukaryota; Metazoa; Cnidaria; Hydrozoa; Anthoathecata; Hydractiniidae
Exons: 3
Source: RefSeq, a predicted model, not a curated record
UUCUAAUGUAGAACAGAUAUUCAAUGUAGGGUACACAGGCUCCUUGCAACGUGGACUGGUUCUCUGUAAGGGUAAACAUGUUCAUUGUAGGGAACAUAUGUCCAUUGUAAGCGUCACAUGUUCAUGGUGAGUGUCCAUGUUCAUUGUAAGGUUACCAUGUUCAUUGUAAGGUACACAUUUUCACAUUAAGGUAUACAUGAUUGUAUGGUAGACAUGUUCAGUGUGAGACAUGCAUGUUCAUUGUAAGGCGUAAUUGUUCAUUCUAAGGCAAACAUGUUCAUUGUAAGGUACAUAUGUUCAAUGUAAGGUAGGCAUGUUCAUUGUAGAAAACACGUGUCCACUGUAAGCCAACCAUGUUCAUUGUAAGGUAGACAUGUUCAUUGCAAGGUAGAGAUAUUCAUUGUAGAGUAGACAUGCUCCCUGCAACGUAGACCGGUACACUGUAAGGUAAACAUGUUCAGUGUAAAGCAACAAUGUUCAUUGUAAAGUAGACAUGUUCAUUGUAAGGUAGACACAUUCACUGUAGGGUGGAUGGGUUUCCUGUAUGGUAGACUUGUUCAGUUUGAGGCACGUGUGUUCAUUGUAAGGCGUAAUUGUUUAAUCUAAGGUUAAUAUGUUCAUUGUAAGGUACACAUGUUCGCUGUAAGAUAAGCAUGUUUAUUGUGGGAAACACGUGUUCACUGUGAAGCAACCAUGUUCAAUGUAAGGUACACAUAUUCAUUGCAAGGUACACAUGUUCAAUGUAAAGGAGACAAAGUCAUUGGAGGGCAGACAUGCUCCGUGUGCAGUAGGUUUGUUCACUGUAAGGGAUACGUGUUUAUUGCUGGGUGUACAUGGUUAUUGUUAGGUACACGUGUUCACUGUAAGGUAACCAUGUUCAUUGUAGGAAAGGCGUAUUCACAGUAAGGCAACCAUGUUCAUUGUAAGGUAGAUAUCUUCAUUGUAAGGUACACAUGCUCAUUGUAACGUAAAAAUCAUCAUUGUAGGGCAGACUUGAUAGCUGUUCCGUAGAAUGGCACACUGUAAGAUAAACAUGUUCAUUGUAAGGCACAUUUGUUCAUUGUAAGGGUCACUUGGUCAUUGUCAGGUAUACAUGGUCAUAGUAAGGUUAGCAUGUUCAUUAUAAGUUAGACAUUUUCAUUAUAAGGUAUAUAUGUUCAUUGUAAGGUACACAUGUUCAAUGUAAGGUAAACGAAGUCACUGUAGGAUAGACAUGCUCCGUGUCAGGUACGAUUGUUCACUGUAAAACAACAAUUUUCAUUGUAAAGUAGACAUGUUCAUUGUAAGGUAGAGAUAUCCAUUGUAGGGAAGACUUGCUCCCUGCAACGUAGAGUAGUACACUGUACGCAAUUGUUCUUCCUAAGGUAGAGUGUCAUUGUAAGGUAAUCAUGUUCGUUGUAAGUUACACAUAUUCCUUGUAAGGUUGACAUGUUCAUUGUAGGGUGGACAGGUUCCCUGCAAUGUAAACUUAUUCACUGAAAGCCAGACAUUAUCAUUGUAAGGCACAGGUGUUCAUUGUAGGGUAUAUAUGAUCAUUGUAAGGUACCCACUUUCAUUGUAAGGUAGACAUGUUCACCGUAGGGUGGAUAGGUUUCCUGUAUGGUAGACAUGUUCAGUGUGAGGCAUGCAUGUUCAUUGUAUGGCGUAAUUGUUCAUUGUAAGGUAAGAAUGUUCAUUGUAAGGUACACAUGUUCACUGUAAGUUGGGCAUGUUCAUUGUAGCAAACACGUGUUCACUGUAAGACAACCAUGUUCAUUGUAACGUACACAUGUUCAUUGUAAGGUAGACAAAGUCAUUGUAGGGUAGACAUGCUCCGUGUACGGUAGGCUUGUUCACUGUAAGGCAACCAUGUUCAAUGUAGGGUACACAUUUUUUUUGUAAUGUACACAUGUUCAUUGUAAGGUAGACAAAGUCGUUGUAGGAUAGACAUGCGCCGUGUAAGGUAGGCUUGUUCACUGUAAAGCAACAAUGUUCAUUGUAAAGUGGACAUGUUCAUUGUAAGUUAGACAUGUUCACUUUAGGCUGAAUAGAUUUCCUGUUUGGUAGACAUGUUCAGUGUGAGGCAUGCGUGCUCAUUGUAAGGCGUAUUUGUUCAUUCUAAGGUUAAUAUGUUCAUUGUAAGGUACACAUGUUCACUGUAAGAUAAGCAUGUUCAUUGUGGGAAACACGUGUUCACAGUAAAGCAACCAUGUUCAAUGUAAGGUACACAUAUUCAUUGAAAUAUACACAUGUUCAUUGUAAGGUACAGAAAGUCAUUGGAGGGUAUACAUGCUCCGUGUGCGGUAGGCUUGUUCACUGUAAGGGACACAUGUUUAUUGCCAGGUGUACAUGAUUAUUGUUAAUUACACGUUUUCACUGCAAGGUAACCAUGUUUAUUUUAGGGAAGACGUGUUCAAAGUAAGGCAACCACGUUCAUUGUAAGGUAGAUAUCUUCAUUGUAAGUUACACCUGCUCAUUGUAAGGUAGAAAUCAUAAUUGUGUGGCAAACUUGCUCCCUGUAACGUAGACUGACAUACUGUAAGGUAAACAUGUUCAUUGUAAUGCACAUUUGUUCAUUGUAAGGGUCACUUGUGCAUUGUGAGGUAUAUAUGGUCAUAGUAAGGUUAGCAUGUUCAUUGUACGGUGUACAUUCUCAUUAUAAGGUACACAUGUUCAUUGUAACGUAGACAAAGUCAUUGUAGGAUAGACAUGCUCCGUGUAAAGUAGGCUUCUUCACUGUAAAGCAACAAUGUUCAUGGUAAAGUAGACAUGUUCAUUGCAAGGUAGAGAUAUCCAUUGUAGGGUACACUGUAAGCUAAACAUAUUCAUUGUAAGGCAGAUAUGUAGUUUUUAUAGGUCAAUUUUUCAAUGUGAGUUAACAUGGUCAUUGUAAGGUUACCAUGUUCAUUAUAAGGUACACAUGUUUUUUUGGAGGCACAUGAGUUCAAUGUCACGUAACCAUGUACGUUGUAAGGGACACAUGUGCAUUUUAAGGUACACAUGUUCAUUGUAAGGCACCCAAAGCCAUUGUUGGGUAGACAUGCUCCGUGUACCCAUGGCUUGUUCACUGUAAGGUAACCAUGUUUAUUGUGAGGGACACAUGUUCAUUGCCGAGUGUGCAUGUUCAUUGCUAGGUACAAUUGUUCACUGCAAGGCAACCAUGUUCAUUGUAAGGUAGAGAUAUUCAUUGCAAGGUAGUCAUGCUCCCUGUAACAUACACCGGUACACCAUAAGAUAGACAUGUUCAUUCUAAGACAGAUAUGUUCUCUUUAAGGGUCAAUUAUUCAUUGUAAGGUAGACAUGUUCAUUGGAGGGUAUACAUGUUCAUUAUAAGGUACACAUUUUCACAUUAAGGUAUACAUCAUUGUAUAGUCGACAUGUUUAGUGUAAGACAUGCAUGUUCAUUGUAAGGCGUAAUUGAUUAUUCUAAGGUAAACAUGUUCAUUAAAAGGUACACAUGUUCACUGUAAGGUAGGCAUGUUCAUUGUAGAACGCACGUGUCCACUGCAAGGCAACCAUAUUCAUUGUAAUGUGGACAUGUUCAUUGUGAGGUAGAGAUAAUCAUUGUAGGGUGGAUAGGUUUCCUGUAUGGUAGACUUGUUCAGUGUGAGGCACGCGUGUUCAUUGUAAGGCGUAAUUGUUCAGUCUAAGGUUAAUAUUUUUAUUGUAAGGUACACAUGUUCGCUGUAAGUUAAGCAUGUUCAUUGUGGGAAACACGUGUUCACUGUAAAGCAACCAUGUUCAAUAUAAGGUAUACAUAUUCAUUGUAAGGUACACAUGUUCAUUGUAAGGGAGGCAAAGUCAUUGGAGGGCAGACAUGCUCCGUGUGCGGUAGGCUUGUUCACUCUAAGGGACACAUGUUCAUUGCCGGGUGUACAUGGUUAAUGUUAGGUAUACGUGUUCACUGUACAGUAACCAUGUUUAUUGUAGGGAAAACGUGUUCAAAGUAAGGCAACUACGUUCAUUGUAAGGUAGAUAUCUUCAUUGUAAGUUACACCUUCUCAUUGUAAGGUAGAAAUCUUAAUUGUGGGGCAAACUUGCUCCCUGUAACGUAGACUGACACACUGUAACGUAAACAUGUUCAUUGUAAUGCACAUUUGUUCAUUGUAAGAGACACUUGUUCAUUGCGAGGUAUAUAUGGUCAUAGUAAGGUUAGCAUGUUCAUUGUACGGUAAACAUUCUCAUUAUAAGGUACACAUGUUCAUUGUAACGUAGACAAAGUCAUUGUAGGAUAGACAUGCUCCGUGUAAGGUAGGCUUCUUCACUGUAAAGCAACAAUGUUCAUUGUAAAGUAGACAUGUUCAUUGCAAGGUACAGAUGUUUUUUUGGAGGCACAUGAGUUCGAUAUCACGUAACCAUGUUCGUUGUAAGGGACACAUGUGCAUUUUAAGGUACACAUGUUCAUUAUAAGGUACACAUUUUCACAUUAAGGUAUACAUGAUUGUAUGGUAGACUUGUUCAGUGUGAGGCACGCGUGUUCAUUGUAAGGCGUAAUUGUUUAAUCUAAGAUUAAUAUGUUCAUUGUAAGGUACACAUGUUCGCUGUAAGAUAAGCAUGUUUAUUGUGGGAAACACGUGUUCACUGUGAAGCAACCAUGUUCAAUGUAAGGUACACAUAUUCAUUGUAAGGUACACAUGUUCAAUGUAAGGUAAACGAAGUCACUGUAGGAUAGACAUGCUCCGUGUCAGGUACGAUUGUUCACUGUAAAACAACAAUUUUCAUUGUAAAGUAGACAUGUUCACUGUAAGUUGGGCAUGUUCAUUGUAGCAAACACGUGUUCACUGUAAGGCAACCAUGUUCAUUGUAACGUACACAUGUUCAUUGUAAGGUAGACAAAGUCAUUGUAGGGUAGACAUGCUCCGUGUACGGUAGGCUUGUUCACUGUAAGGCAAACAUGUUCAAUGUAGGGUACACAUAUUUAUUGUAAUGUACACAUAUUCAUUGUAAGGUAGACAAAGUCGUUGUAGGAUAGACAUGCGCCGUGUAAGGUAGGCUUUUUCACUGUAAAGCAACAAUGUUCAUUGUAAAGUAGACAUGUUCACUGUAAGAUAAGCAUGUUUAUUGUGGGAAACACGUGUUCACUGUGAAGCAACCAUGUUCAAUGUAAGGUACACAUAUUCAUUGUAAGGUACACAUGUUCAAUGUAAGGUAAACGAAGUCACUGUAGGAUAGACAUGCUCCGUGUCAGGUACGAUUGUUCACUGUAAAACAACAAUUUUCAUUGUAAAGUAGACAUGUUCAUUGUAAGGUAGAGAUAUCCAUUGCAGGGAAGACUUGCUCCCUGCAACGUAGAGUAGUACACUGUACGCAAUUGUUCAUUCUAAGGUAGAGUGUCAUUGUAAGGUAACCAUGUUUGUUGUAAGUUACACAUAUUCCUUGUAAGGUAGACAUGUUCAUUGUAGGGUGGACAGGUUCCCUGCAAUGUAAACUUAUUCACUGAAAGCCAGACAUUAUCAUUGUAAGGCACAGGUGUUCAUUGUAGGGUAUAUAUGAUCAUUGUAAGGUACCCACUUUCAUUGUAAGGUAGACAUGUUCACUGUAGGGUGGAUAGGUUUCCUGUAUGGUAGACAUGUUCAGUGUGAGGCAUGCAUGUUCCUUGUAUGGCGUAAUUGUUCAUUGUAAGGCGUAAUUGUUUAUUCUAAGGUAAACAUGUUCAUUGUAAGGUACACAUGUUUACUGUAAGGUAGGCAUGUUCAUUGUAGAAAGCACGUGUUCACUGUAAGUCAACCAUGUUCAUUGUAAUGUGGACAUGUUCAUUGUGAGGUAGAGAUAAUCAUUGUAGGGUAGACUUGCCGCCUGUAACGUAGACCGGUACACUGUAAGGUAUACAUGUUCAUUGUAAAGCAGAUAUGUUCAUUUUCAGGUUCAAUUUUUCAUUGUCAGGUGGACAUGUUCAUUGUAGGGUGGACAGGUUGCUGAAGGCAAGGGUUAGGGUUAGGGUUACGGUUAGGGUUAGGAUUAGGGUUAGGUAACAUUGUAAGGCACAAGUGUUCAUUGAAGGUUAUACUUGUUCAUUGUAAGGUACCCAUUUUCAUUGUCAGGCAGACAUGUUCACUGCAGAGUGGAUAGGUUUCUUGUGUGGUAGACAUGUUCAGUGUGAGGCAUGCAUGUUCAUUGUAUGGCGUAAUUGUUCAUUGUAAGGCGUAAUUGUUCAUUCUAAGGUUAAUGUUCAUUGUAAGGUACACAUGUUCACUGUAAGAUAAGCACGUUCAUUGUGGGAAACACGUGUUUACUGUAAAGCAACCAUUUUCAAUGUAAGGCACACAUAUUCAUUGUAAGGUACACAUGUUCAUUGUAAGGUAGACAAAGUCAUUGGAGGGUAGACAUGCUCCGUGUACGGUAGGCUUGUUCACUGUAAGGGACACAUGUUCAUUGCCGGGUGCAAUUGGUUAUUGUUUGGUACACGUGUUCACUGUGAGGUAACCAUGUUUAUUGUAGGAAAGACGUGUUCACAGUAGGGCAACCAUGUUCAUUGUAAGGUAGAUAUCUUCAUUGUAAGGUAGAGCAUUUAGGGCAGACUUGCUCCCUGUUACGUAGACUGCCACACUGUAAGAAAAACAUGUUCAUUGUCAGGCACAUUUGUUCAUUGUGAGGGUUACUUGUUCAUUGUGAGGUAUACAUGGUCAUAGUAAGGAUAGCAUGUUCAUUUUAAGGUACACACUUUCAUUAUAAAGUACAUAUAUUAAUUGUAAAGUACACAUGUUCAAUGUAAGGUAGACAAAGCCACUGUAGGAUAGACAUGCUCGUGUAAGGUAGGCCUGUUUACUGUAAGGCAACAAUAAUCAUUGUAAAGUAGACUUGAUCAUUGUAAGGUAGAGAUAUCCAUUCUAGGGUAGACUUGCUCCCUGUAACGUAGACUGGUACACUGUAAGAUAAAGAUAUUCUUGUAAGGUAAACAUGCUCAUUGUAAGGCAGAUAUAUAGUUGUUAUACGUCAGUUUCUCAUUGUGAGGUAACAUGGUCAUUGUAAGGUUACCAUGUUCAUUGUAAGGUACACAUACUCCUUGUAAGGUAGACUCGUUUAUUGUAGGGUUGUCAGGUUCGCUGUAUGUAGACUGGGUCACUGUAAGUUACACAUGUUCAUUAUCAGGUACACAUGUAGGUAGACAGGAACAUUGCAAGGCACACAUAUUCAUUGUAAGGUACACAUGUUCAUUGUAAGGUAGACAAAGUCAUUGGAGGGUAGACAUGCUCCGUGUAAGGCAGGCUUGUUCACUGUAAAGCAACAAUGUUUAUUUUACAGCAGACACGUUCAUUGCAAGGUAGAGAUAUCCAUUGUAUUGUACAUUUGCUCCCUGUAAGGUAGACUAGUACACUGUAAGCUAAACAUGUCCAUUGUAAAGAAGAUAUGUAGUUUUUAUAGGUCAAUUUUUCAAUGUAAGGUAACAUGGUCAUUGUAAAGUUACCAUGUUUAUUGUAAGGUGCACAUAUUCGUUGUAAGGCAGAAAUGUUCAUUGUAGGGUUGACAAGUUCCCUUUAAGGUAGAAUGGGUCACUGUAAGUUACACAUGUUCACUAUCAGGUACACAUGUAGGUAGACAGGAACAUUGCAAAAUACACAUUUUCAUUGUAAUGUAGACAUGUUUAUUGUAAGGUGGACAGGUUCCCUGUAAGGUGAACUGGUUCACUGAAAGCCAGACAUUAUCAUUGUAAGGCACAAGUGUUAAUUGUAGGGUAUUUAUGUUCAUUGUAAGGUACCCAAUUUCAUUAUAAGGUGGACAUGUUCACUGUAAAGCGGAUAGGUUUCCUGUACGGUAUACAUGUUUAGUGUGAGGCACGCAUGUUCAUUUUAAGGCGUAACUGUUCAUUCUAAGGUCAAUAUGUUUAAUGUAAGGUACACAUGUUCACGGUAAGAUAAGCAUGUUCAUUGUGGUGAACACGUGCUCACUGUAAGGCAACCAUGUUCCAUGUAAGGUACACAUGUUCAUUAUAAGGUACAUAUUUUCAUUGUAAGGUACACAUGUUUAAUGUAAGGUAGACAGAGUCAUUGUAGGACAGACAUGCUCCAUGUAAGGUAGGUUUGUUCACGGUAAGAACACGUGUUCAUUGCCUGGUGUACAUGGUUAUUGUUAGGUACACGUGCUCACUGUAAGGUAACCAUGUUUAUUGUAGGGAAGACGUGUUCACAGUAAAGCAACCAGGUUCAAUGUAAGGUACACAUAUUCAUUGAAAUGUACACAUGUUCAUUGUAAGGUACAGAAAGUCAUUGGAGGGUAUACAUGCUCCGUGUGCGGUAGGCUUGUUCACUGUAAGGGACACAUGUUUAUUGCCAGGUGUACAUGAUUAUUGUUAAUUACACGUUUUCACUGCAAGGUAACCAUGUUUAUUUUAGGGAAGACGUGUUCAAAGUAAGGCAACCACGUUCAUUGUAAGGUAGAUAUCUUCAUUGUAAGUUACACCUGCUCAUUGUAAGGUAGAAAUCAUAAUUGUGUGGCAAACUUGCUCCCUGUAACGUAGACUGACAUACUGUAAGGUAAACAUGUUCAUUGUAAUGCACAUUUGUUCAUUGUAAGGGUCACUUGUGCAUUGUGAGGUAUAUAUGGUCAUAGUAAGGUUAGCAUGUUCAUUGUACGGUGUACAUUCUCAUUAUAAGGUACACAUGUUCAUUGUAACGUAGACAAAGUCAUUGUAGGAUAGACAUGCUCCGUGUAAAGUAGGCUUCUUCACUGUAAAGCAACAAUGUUCAUUGUAAAGUAGACAUGUUCAUUGCAAGGUAGAGAUAUCCAUUGUAGGGUACACUGUAAGCUAAACAUAUUCAUUGUAAGGCAGAUAUGUAGUUUUUAUAGGUCAAUUUUUCAAUGUGAGUUAACAUGGUCAUUGUAAGGUUACCAUGUUCAUUAUAAGGUACACAUGUUUUUUUGGAGGCACAUGAGUUCAAUGUCACGUAACCAUGUACGUUGUAAGGGACACAUGUGCAUUUUAAGGUACACAUGUUCAUUGUAAGGCACACAAAGCCAUUGUUGGGUAGACAUGCUCCGUGUACCCAUGGCUUGUUCACUGUAAGGUAACCAUGUUUAUUGUGAGGGACACAUGUUCAUUGCCGAGUGUGCUAGGUACAAUUGUUCACUGCAAGGCAACCAUUUUCAUUGUAAGGUAGAGAUAUUCAUUGCAAGGUAGUCAUGCUCCCUGUAACAUACACCGGUACACCAUAAGAUAGACAUGUUCAUUCUAAGACAGAUAUGUUCUCUUUAAGGGUCAAUUAUACAUUGUAAGGUAGACAUGUUCAUUAGAGGGUAUACAUGUUCAUUAUAAGGUACACAUUUUCACAUUAAGGUAUACAUCAUUGUAUAGUAGACAUGUUCAGUGUAAGACAUGCAUGUUCAUUGUAAGGCGUAAUUGAUUAUUCUAAGGUAAACAUGUUCAAUAAAAGGUACACAUGUUCACUGUAAGGUAGGCAUGUUCAUUGUAGAACGCACGUGUCCACUGCAAGGCAACCAUAUUCAUUGUAAUGUGGACAUGUUCAUUGUGAGGUAGAGAUAAUCAUUGUAGGGUAGACUUGCUGCCUGUAACGUAGACCGGUACACUGUAAGGUAAACAUGUUCAUUGUAAAGCAACAAUGUUCAUUGUAAAGUAGACAUGUUCAUUGUAAGGUAGACACAUUCACUGUAGGGUGGAUAGGUUUCCUGUAUGGUAGACUUGUUCAGUGUGAGGCACGCGUGUUCAUUGUAAGGCGUAAUUGUUUAAUCUAAGGUUAAUAUGUUCAUUGUAAGGUACACAUGUUCGCUGUAAGAUAAGCAUGUUUAUUGUGGGAAACACGUGUUCACUGUGAAGCAACCAUGUUCAAUGUAAGGUACACAUAUUCAUUGUAAGGUGCACAUGUUCAUUGUAAGGGAGACAAAGUCAUUGGAGGGCAGACAUGCUCCGUGUGCGGUAGGUUUGUUCGCUGUAAGGGAUACGUGUUCAUUGCUGGGUGUACAUGGUUAUUGCUAGGUACACGUGUUCACUGUAAGGUAACCAUGUUUAUUGUAGGGAAGGCGUAUUCACAGUAAGGCAACCAUGUUCAUUGUAAGGUAGAUAUCUUCAUUGUAAGCUACACAUGCUCAUUUUAAGGUCAAAAUCAUCAUUGUAGGGCAGACUUGAUAGCUGUUCCGUAGAAUGGCACACUGUAAGAUAAACAUGUUCAUUGUAAGGCACAUUUGUUCAUUGUAAGGGUCACUUGGUCAUUGUCAGGCAUACAUGGUCAUAGUAAGGUUAGAAUGUUCAUUAUAAGUUAGACAUUUUCAAUAUAAGGUAUAUAUGUUUAUUGUAAGGUACACAUGUUUAAUGUAAGGUAAACGAAGUCACUGUAGGAUAGACAUGCUCCGUGUCAGGUACAAUUGUUCACUGUAAAACAACAAUUUUCAUUGUAAAGUAGACAUGUUCAUUGUAAGGUAGAGAUAUCCAUUGUAGGGAAGACUUGCUCCCUGCAACGUAGAGUAGUACACUGUACGCAAUUGUUCAUUCUAAGGUAGAGUGUCAUUGUAAGGUAACCAUGUUCGUUGUAAGUUACACAUAUUCCUUGAAAGGAAGACAUUUUCAUUGUAGGGUGGACAGGUUCCCUGCAAUGUAAACUUAUUCACUGAAAGCCAGACAUUAUCAUUGUAAGGCACAGGUGUUCAUUGUAGGGUAUAUAUGAUCAUUGUAAGGUACCCACUUUCAUUGUAAGGUAGACAUGUUCACUGUAGGGUGGAUAGAUUUCCUGUAUGGUAGACAUGUUCAGUGUGAGGCAUGCAUGUUCAUUGUAUGGCGUAAUUGUUCAUUGUAAGGUAAGAAUGUUCAUUGUAAGGUACACAUGUUCACUGUAAGUUGGGCAUGUUCAUUGUAGCAAACACGUGUUCACUGUAGGGCAACCAUGUUCAUUGUAACGUACACAUGUUCAUUGUAAGGUAGACAAAGUCAUUGUAGGGUAGACAUGCUCCGUGUACGGUAGGCCUGUUCACUGUAAGGCAACCAUGUUCAAUGUAGGGUACACAUUUUUAUUGUAAUGUACACAUGUUCAUUGUAAGGUAGACAAAGUCGUUGUAGGAUAGACAUGCGCCGUGUAAGGUAGGCUUGUUCACUGUAAAGCAACAAUGUUCAUUGUAAAGUAGACAUGUUCACUGGAGGGUGGAUAUGUUUCCUGUAUGGUAGACAUUUUCAGUGUGAGGCACGCGUGUUCAUUGUAAGGCGUAAUUGUUCAGUCUAAGGUUAAUAUAUUUAUUGUAAGGUACACAUGUUCGCUGUAAGUUAAGCAUGUUCAUUGUGGGAAACACGUGUUCACUGUAAAGCAACCAUGUUCAAUAUAAGGUAUACAUAUUCAUUGUAAGGUACACAUGUUCAUUGUAAGGGAGGCAAAGUCAUUGGAGGGCAGACAUGCUCCGUGUGCGGUAGGCUUGUUCACUCUAAGGGACACAUGUUCAUUGCCGGGUGUACAUGGUUAAUGUUAGGUAUACGUGUUCACUGUACAGUAACCAUGUUUAUUGUAGGGAAGACGUGUUCAAAGUAAGGCAACCACGUUCAUUGUAAGGUAGAUAUCUUCAUUGUAAGUUACACCUUCUCAUUGUAAGGUAAAAAUCUUAAUUGUGGGGCAAACUUGCUCCCUGUAACGUAGACUGACACACUGUAACGUAAACAUGUUCAUUGUAAUGCACAUUUGUUCAUUGUAAGAGACACUUGUUCAUUGCGAGGUAUAUAUGGUCAUAGUAAGGUUAGCAUGUUCAUUGUACGGUGUACAUUCUCAUUAUAAGGUACACAUGUUCAUUGUAACGUAGACAAAGUCAUUGUAGGAUAGACAUGCUCCGUGUAAGGUAGGCUUCUUCACUGUAAAGCAACAAUGUUCAUUGUAAAGUAGACAUGUUCAUUGCAAGGUAGAGAUAUCCAUUGUAGGGUACACUGUAAGCUAAACAUAUUCAUUGUAAAGCAGAUAUGUAGUUUUUAUAGCUCAAUUUUUCAAUGUGAGGUAGCAUGGUCAUUGUAAGGUUACCAUGUUCAUUAUAAGGUACAGAUGUUUUUUUGGAGGCACAUGAGUUC